AUAAAGGUUUGGUCCUAGCCUUACUAUCACCUGUUUCUCAAUUUACACAUGCAAGUCUCAGCGCACCCGUGAGAACGCCCUUUCAACCUUCACCAGGCUAAGGAGCUGGCAUCAGGCUCAACCUCCUGCCCAUAACGCCUAGUCUCACCACACCCCCAAGGGUAUCCAGCAGUGAUAAAUCUUGCGUAUAAGCGACAGCUUGACUCAGUUAGAGAAAAGAGGGCCGGCUAACCCGGUGCCAGCCGCCGCGGCUACACCGUGGGGCCCAAGCUGAUAAUCAUCGGCGUUAAGCGUGAUUAAAGUCCCCCACCAAUUAGGAUUGAAUUAACACUUAGUAGUGAUAAGCUUGAUGUUAAGAAAACCAUAAACGAAAGUUAUCCUAAUUAUACUUGAAUACACGACAACUA
Molecule: ribosomal RNA, 407 nt
Filed under: Pelophylax fukienensis (Fukien gold-striped pond frog)
Lineage: Eukaryota; Metazoa; Chordata; Amphibia; Anura; Ranidae
Description: partial 12S rRNA
Source: RNAcentral